AACUGUCAUUGUCUCAGUUUUGUACAGGGUAGCAUACCCCCUGGAGAAUCUUCCAGGUUUAUAUUCCAGUACCACAUGCAAAAUAUACCAUGCUUCAGCUAAAUUAGAAUGAUUUUAGUGUUCCUAAGUGCUUGCAUUGUGAAAAAAGUUGCUACCCAAGACCACUUAAUUUUGUACAUCAAUAUUAAUACAUCUAUAUUGGCUUAUGCAUGCAU
RNAcentral lists this unclassified non-coding RNA (215 nucleotides) under Hevea brasiliensis (rubber tree). Lineage: Eukaryota; Viridiplantae; Streptophyta; Magnoliopsida; Malpighiales; Euphorbiaceae. The record is from RNAcentral.